GGGGCUGUAGUUUAAUGGUAGAACAGUCUGGCCUGUCACCCGACAGAUGCGGGUUCAACCCCCGUCGGCUCCACCA
RNAcentral lists this transfer RNA (76 nucleotides) under Candidatus Peregrinibacteria bacterium. Its description in RNAcentral is "tRNA-Asp". It matches the Rfam family "tRNA". From Rfam's summary of the family: Transfer RNA (tRNA) molecules are approximately 80 nucleotides in length. Their secondary structure includes four short double-helical elements and three loops (D, anti-codon, and T loops). Further hydrogen bonds mediate the characteristic L-shaped molecular structure. tRNAs have two regions of fundamental functional importance: the anti-codon, which is responsible for specific mRNA codon recognition, and the 3' end, to which the tRNAs corresponding amino acid is attached (by aminoacyl-tRNA synthetases). tRNAs cope with the degeneracy of the genetic code in two manners: having more than one tRNA (with a specific anti-codon) for a particular amino acid; and 'wobble' base-pairing, i.e. permitting non-standard base-pairing at the 3rd anti-codon position. The record is from RNAcentral. Lineage: Bacteria; Candidatus Peregrinibacteriota.